GUUUUACCUUGACGAAUUGUAGUUUAAAGAAGUGUUUUCUGUUGAAGUUUUGGUAAAAGUUCUUUGGAAUAGGACAUCAUAGAGGGUGAGAAUCCCGUAUUUGACCAUUAUUUUCAGCUGUGUGACACACUUUCAAAGAGUCGGAUUGUUUGGGAAUGCAGUCCAAAAUGGGUGGUAAAUUUCAUCUAAAGCUAAAUAUUGGCGAGAGACCGAUAGCGAACAAGUACCGUGAGGGAAAGAUGAAAAGAACUUUGAAAAGAGAGUUAAACAGUACGUGAAAUUGUCAAAAGGGAAGCGUUUGACACCAGUGUUGUUUUCUCGAAAAUCAAUUAAAAAAAGUUGGAUUUUGUGUUGUAUUGACCUUAACAGCUUUCUGCACUCUUUUCCUGCUUUUUUU
This 397-nucleotide ribosomal RNA is filed under the name uncultured Neocallimastigomycetes. Its description in RNAcentral is "eukaryotic LSU rRNA". It matches the Rfam family "Eukaryotic large subunit ribosomal RNA", at positions 127 to 521 of the family's 3401-position model. Lineage: Eukaryota; Fungi; Neocallimastigomycota; Neocallimastigomycetes. The record is from RNAcentral.